RNAcentral lists this long non-coding RNA (252 nucleotides) under Elaeis guineensis (African oil palm). Its description in RNAcentral is "long non-coding RNA (EGUI_LNC054111)". The record is from RNAcentral. Lineage: Eukaryota; Viridiplantae; Streptophyta; Magnoliopsida; Arecales; Arecaceae.
CCAUCCUUCUGAGAUUGUCUCCAUCCUACUUGCUCAUCUUUUUUCUUCUCUUUCUUGGGCCUCUCUGACACUGCAAGACCCUCUUGGAAGACCUCACUUUUCAUCAUCUAUUUUCGCUACUUGUUGGACCUUAGUACUGAAAAGAUCUCCUCAUACACCAAUAUCUCCUUACCAUACAAUAGCAUCAUCGUCAAUGAAUCGAAGCUCCCAGAUAGCGAACAUUAUAGUAGCAAGCUUUGGUCCCCCUCUACA